Molecule: long non-coding RNA, 950 nt
Organism: Tribolium castaneum (red flour beetle)
Lineage: Eukaryota; Metazoa; Arthropoda; Insecta; Coleoptera; Tenebrionidae
Exons: 2
Source: RefSeq, a predicted model, not a curated record
CGAACUAUUUAUGGAGGGUGUGCCCAGUUAAACUCCACCUCACACCAUUCAUAAGAUCUCCCCACCAGUAUCGGCUACGAUUUCCGGGUGUUUGAUGUCUCUCGAUGUUAUAAGAAAUAAAAUCACGAUGGAUGGGAGCGCAGUGCCCACAGUCUCCGUAAUUGGGUCGCAAGACAGAGAGAAAGACAAUAGUGCACCUGUUGCCAAAAAGCCAAAUUUGAAAAACCCCUUCGAAAUUUAACACAGCGUGUGCCAACACGGCCCAGAUCAGGCCAUAAAUUCGCAAGUGCUUCAAUCGGUGGUAAUGUCUGGUAGCGGUUUCAGCAGGUGAGUCUAGGCGUGCGACAGAGCACGAGACCCAGUGGCGUGCGUCAACGCAGGAUACGUGACACCCGACAGGAAAAAUCGCCCGAAAAUACUAAUGAACUGAACCAAAAACGUUUUCUUCCCUAAUAUUUCAGGCAGGUUCGUCGCCUAAUUGCCUAUUGAAGUCUCCGUUCGCGAGCGCUUGCUAUUGAAAUUGCAACGGCGUCUUCGUGGGGAAAACCUUCAACUACAUUACAAACGACCGUAAAAACCCGAAUUUGGACCGCGAGGUUGUUCAAUAUUGGAUAAUAUUUGUCAAGACUUUGGAAUUGGCGUUCCAAUUUUACCGAUACCGCGUUCAACUCACGCGUAACUUUCACUGCAUGCAUUGUUGAGGCUUAAUUUCUCGUAAAAUCUCGACCGCCGAGAUGAAGAUUCCUGCGGUGAAAAAUGUUGAAAUCUCCAGGAUAUGUGCUAUGAGUCAUAAAGCGCGAUUUUAUAACUUUAUUUCUUGAAACGGUGGUUCGGAUUCAAAGUCUGGGACGGGACGAACUUACGUAAGGAGGAUGACAACGCAACAUACUGAUUGAUAAAUGUAUUGCGUUUGCAAAUAAUUUCCGAUAAAUAAAAAAUAUUAUUAUUUA